AAUAGCAUUCUUUGCCCCACCCUUUAAAUUGCCAUUUAGAGUACGGUAGGAAUGCUGAGAGAUUACUUUUUUUUUUUCAUUUUUACCCUUAUUUUUCAUGGUCAUCCUUUCUGCUGUUUCAACUACAGCCUUUACGUUCAUUACCUUUUCCAUUUAUAAAGCCCUAAACACCAUUGCCCCUCACCAAUUUUUACAAUCUUUUCCUCGUAGGAAUCGAGAUCGUAGAAAUUUCCCAAUUAAGGGAAAAAUCUUCAGCAAGGAAAAAAAAUCCAAACUCAAUUGAAGAACACAUUAGCGUCUGGUUUUGAUUUCAAAGUGAUUCAAGACAAGAGAAGGAGUUUGGUCGAAGCAUGGGUGAAAUUUUUGAGAAUUUUGAUGUAAAUCCUCUGGGUUCGGCAUCGAUCGCAUAGUUUUGCAGGGUUCUCAGGUUCCAGAAAUAGAAUAAUGCUUACAAAAACCGAGUGGAUAUACCUUAACAUGUGUUCGUAUCUGAAUUAGGUUCAUCAAACAAGAUUGAGAGGUGAUAAGAACGAUGUUGUUGUUAAGGUGCAACAUUUAGGAAUCCAGGAUCUUAUGAUGAUUGACAUUCGUAACUUGCAAGCGUUUGUACUGUACAUUCAAAAGACUAAUAUCAAAUUUGAUCUGUUUUCCAUUACUAAGGAAAUGGAAAAAUAGGUAUUUGUAUUCACACUGUUGUUCCUUGCAAAACACAUCUAUCCUUCUUUUAUGUAUUUUCCAGAUUAUAUAAAUUGAGAGUAUCGUACCACUCGGAUUUUGAUUUC
Molecule: long non-coding RNA, 782 nt
Organism: Gossypium raimondii (Peruvian cotton)
Lineage: Eukaryota; Viridiplantae; Streptophyta; Magnoliopsida; Malvales; Malvaceae
Exons: 4
Source: RefSeq, a predicted model, not a curated record